GUGUUCGUGGUGUAGAGGUCCCUGCACACCCGGCUGUGAACCGGAAGGUAAGGGUUCGAAUCCCUUCGAACACC
This 74-nucleotide transfer RNA is filed under the name Planctomycetota bacterium. RNAcentral's name for it is "Planctomycetes bacterium (freshwater metagenome) tRNA-His". It matches the Rfam family "tRNA". From Rfam's summary of the family: Transfer RNA (tRNA) molecules are approximately 80 nucleotides in length. Their secondary structure includes four short double-helical elements and three loops (D, anti-codon, and T loops). Further hydrogen bonds mediate the characteristic L-shaped molecular structure. tRNAs have two regions of fundamental functional importance: the anti-codon, which is responsible for specific mRNA codon recognition, and the 3' end, to which the tRNAs corresponding amino acid is attached (by aminoacyl-tRNA synthetases). tRNAs cope with the degeneracy of the genetic code in two manners: having more than one tRNA (with a specific anti-codon) for a particular amino acid; and 'wobble' base-pairing, i.e. permitting non-standard base-pairing at the 3rd anti-codon position. The record is from RNAcentral. Lineage: Bacteria; Pseudomonadati; Planctomycetota.